RNAcentral lists this transfer RNA (72 nucleotides) under Ovis aries (sheep). It matches the Rfam family "tRNA". Rfam says of the family: Transfer RNA (tRNA) molecules are approximately 80 nucleotides in length. The record is from Rfam by way of RNAcentral. Lineage: Eukaryota; Metazoa; Chordata; Mammalia; Artiodactyla; Bovidae.
UCCCUUGUGGCUUAGAUGGUAAAGUGUCUACCUACAAUGCGGGAGACCCGGGUGCGAUCCCUGGCUGGGGAA